GACGAACGCUGGCGGCGGGCUUAACACAUGCAAGUCGAACGGAAAGGCGCUGCAGGUAGGGGACUCGAGUGGCGAAGGGGGGAGGAACAGGUGGGUGAGGUGCCCUGCACGUUGGGGGAAGCUAGGGAAACUGGGUCUAAUAUCGUAUAGGAUCCAGUCGCAGUGCGAAGGUGGGAGAGUUUCUUGGGUGUAGGAUGAGGUCGCGGCCUAUCAGCUUGUGGGUGGGGGGAUGGCCUACCAAGGCGGCGACGGGUAGCCGGCCUGAGAGAGUGGACGGCCACCCUGGGACUGAGAGGCGGCCCAGACUCCUACGGGAGGAAGCAGUGGGGAAUAUUGCACAAUGGGCGCAAGCCGGAUGCAGCGGCGCCGCGUGGGGGAUGACGGCCUUCGCGUUGUAAACUCCUUUCGCUAGGGACGAAGCUUUUUGUGACGGUACCUAGAGAAGAAGCACCGGCUAACUCCGUG
Molecule: ribosomal RNA, 465 nt
Filed under: uncultured bacterium
Lineage: Bacteria
Description: partial 16S ribosomal RNA
Rfam family: Bacterial small subunit ribosomal RNA
Source: RNAcentral